GACGAACGCUGGCGGCGUGCUUAACACAUGCAAGUCGAGCGGUAAGGCCUUUCGGGGUACACGAGCGGCGAACGGGUGAGUAACACGUGGGUGAUCUGCCCUGCACUUCGGGAUAAGCCUGGGAGACUGGGUCUAAUACCGGAUAUGACCUCCUAUCGCAUGGUGGGUGGUGGAAAGAUUUAUCGGUGCAGGAUGGGCCCGCGGCCUAUCAGCUUGUUGGUGGGGUAAUGGCCUACCAAGGCGACGACGGGUAGCCGACCUGAGAGGGUGACCGGCCACACUGGGACUGAGACACGGCCCAGACUCCUACGGGAGGCAGCAGUGGGGAAUAUUGCACAAUGGGCGAAAGCCUGAUGCAGCGACGCCGCGUGAGGGAUGACGGCCUUCGGGUUGUAAACCUCUUUCAGCAGGGACGAAGCGCAAGUGACGGUACCUGCAGAAGAAGCACCGGCUAACUACGUG
Molecule: ribosomal RNA, 462 nt
Filed under: uncultured bacterium
Lineage: Bacteria
Description: partial 16S ribosomal RNA
Rfam family: Bacterial small subunit ribosomal RNA
Source: RNAcentral